RNAcentral lists this ribosomal RNA (457 nucleotides) under uncultured bacterium. Its description in RNAcentral is "partial 16S ribosomal RNA". It matches the Rfam family "Bacterial small subunit ribosomal RNA", at positions 338 to 794 of the family's 1533-position model. The record is from RNAcentral.
CCUACGGGAGGCAGCAGUGAGGAAUAUUGGUCAAUGGGCGAGAGCCUGAACCAGCCAAGUCGCGUGAGGGAGUACUGCCCUAUGGGUUGUAAACCUCUUUUGUCGGGGAGCAAAAGCCGGACGUGUCCGGCUGUGAGAGUACCCGAAGAAAAAGCAUCGGCUAACUCCGUGCCAGCAGCCGCGGUAAUACGGAGGAUGCGAGCGUUAUCCGGAUUUAUUGGGUUUAAAGGGUGCGCAGGCGGAUUUUUAAGUCAGCGGUAAAAUCGUGGGGCUCAACCCCAUCCAGCCGUUGAAACUGGGGAUCUAGAGUGUGCGAGAGGUAUGCGGAAUGCGUGGUGUAGCGGUGAAAUGCAUAGAUAUCACGCAGAACCCCGAUUGCGAAGGCAGCAUACCGGUGCACAACUGACGCUCAGGCACGAAAGCGUGGGUAUCGAACAGGAUUAGAUACCCCGGUAGU